Long non-coding RNA from Clupea harengus (Atlantic herring), 1207 nucleotides. The record is from Ensembl. Lineage: Eukaryota; Metazoa; Chordata; Actinopteri; Clupeiformes; Clupeidae.
GCCCAGACGCGUCGAUUUGGAUGAACGCCAAAUUCAGCCUGAAAUCUGAAAAAGCUGAAAUCUCGCCGAAUGAGAUCACGCUGAAGUACGCCAGACCCCCGGAUCUGUUUGAGGUGUUUGUGGAGAAUGCAGAGGAGAGCAUCGAUCUGCAGUUGAUCAGUGACGGUGACACCAUAUGGCAAGCAACAUUACGACGGGUCGAUUACAGUGAGCCCAGCGAUGUUGCAGGAAGUUCACUCAGGGUCUCUGCAGCCUACCUUCUCAUCCCAACAACAGCCAACAUAGAGACCCCACCGAGGGGCAGAACAACCGGCCGCUCAGAGCAGAGAAGGGAUGGAAAACACACAGGGCGAGUGUCCAUGGCUCAGAAGGAUCUCAUUAACAGAGGAUCUGAAAGUCUUCUCAGAGAUAUGCUAGACAGUCUUCAGGCGGAGAAUCUAUCUGUGGUUAGACAGAGGGAGGUUAAUGAAGUCCUGCAGGGGAACAGAGUGCUGCAGGACCAGUGGAGCUCCCUCCUCACCAUGCUAAAGAAUAAAGGGGAGAGAGCUUGUUGCAUCAUGCUCCGUGUACUUAGAGAUCUGGACCCCCUCUUCUAUGAAGACUUGGGCCUGUAAUCACCAGCACCACUAUUGGUAUGGUAGUACUGUUUUUAUAUUCUCACUUUUCCAGUUCCUCUAUCUCAACAAAGUGCUAACUGUCUUGGAUGCUAUCCCUAGGUGGCACAAAGGCUCCUUAAACACAUAUAGUACCUCACCUGUGCUUUAAGGUGCUUUGAAUAAAAAUGUCUGCCAAAUGGAUACACUUGAAUGUAAAUAGUAUGUUGAGUUCCUCUGAGUUGCAUAUCCUCUUAAAAGCACAUCAUCUGCCCUCAGAGAUAGAAACUGUGGUCUCUGUGUGUAUUUGUGUUAUUUAUAUGAUAACUUAAAUUAGAGACAGUAUUAUUUCUGAUAAUGGCCUCAGAAAACACUGUAUAAAAUAUCCAACCAUGGGAAAUUUCACCUGCAUCACAUUAAUUGAUCUUUGUAAGACUGUCACUGAGUGCAACUCCUCCACCUCAUGUAUUGACCCACAGCAUUUUUAAGCAGGUGUUCAACAGUGUUUCAAGUCAUGUCCUGAAGAUUAUAAAUACAUCUCUUCAAACAGGCAUCUUCCCAGAUGCCUUCAAAACAGCUGUUGUAUAACCCUUAUUAAAGAAACCCAUCCUAGA